UUCAUGAUUUUGUAGGCUGC
Molecule: non-coding RNA, 20 nt
Filed under: Arabidopsis thaliana (thale cress)
Lineage: Eukaryota; Viridiplantae; Streptophyta; Magnoliopsida; Brassicales; Brassicaceae
Source: RNAcentral